UACGAAGGGGGCUAGCGUUGUUCGGAAUUACUGGGCGUAAAGCGUAUGCAGGCGGACUUUUAAGUCGGGGGUGAAAUCCCGAGGCUCAACCUCGGAACUGCCUUCGAUACUGGAAGUCUUGAGUCCGGGAGAGGUGAGUGGAACUCCGAGUGUAGAGGUGAAAUUCGUAGAUAUUCGGAAGAACACCAGUGGCGAAGGCGGCUCACUGGCCCGGUACCGACGCUGAGAUACGAAAGCGUGGGGAGCAAACAGG
This 253-nucleotide ribosomal RNA is filed under the name uncultured bacterium. RNAcentral describes it as "partial 16S ribosomal RNA". It matches the Rfam family "Bacterial small subunit ribosomal RNA", at positions 524 to 776 of the family's 1533-position model. The record is from RNAcentral.